GGGGCCGUAGCCCAAAGGCAGAGGCGCACGGUUUAGGUCCGUGACAGUGGGGGUUCGACUCCCCCCGGCCCUA
This 73-nucleotide transfer RNA is filed under the name Jatrophihabitans sp. RNAcentral's name for it is "tRNA-Leu". It matches the Rfam family "tRNA". From Rfam's summary of the family: Transfer RNA (tRNA) molecules are approximately 80 nucleotides in length. Their secondary structure includes four short double-helical elements and three loops (D, anti-codon, and T loops). Lineage: Bacteria; Bacillati; Actinomycetota; Actinomycetes; Jatrophihabitantales; Jatrophihabitantaceae. The record is from RNAcentral. RNAcentral also lists the same sequence under 4 other names.